GGGGGCGUGGCUCAGCUGGGAGAGCACCUCGUUCGCAACGAGGGGGUCAGGGGUUCGAGUCCCCUCGUCUCCA
RNAcentral lists this transfer RNA (73 nucleotides) under hydrocarbon metagenome. RNAcentral describes it as "tRNA-Ala". It matches the Rfam family "tRNA". Rfam says of the family: Transfer RNA (tRNA) molecules are approximately 80 nucleotides in length. Their secondary structure includes four short double-helical elements and three loops (D, anti-codon, and T loops). Further hydrogen bonds mediate the characteristic L-shaped molecular structure. tRNAs have two regions of fundamental functional importance: the anti-codon, which is responsible for specific mRNA codon recognition, and the 3' end, to which the tRNAs corresponding amino acid is attached (by aminoacyl-tRNA synthetases). tRNAs cope with the degeneracy of the genetic code in two manners: having more than one tRNA (with a specific anti-codon) for a particular amino acid; and 'wobble' base-pairing, i.e. permitting non-standard base-pairing at the 3rd anti-codon position. The record is from RNAcentral.